CCAAUAGCGUAUAUUAAAGUUGUUGCAGUUAAAAAGCUCGUAGUUGAAUUUUAGGCCUGGCCGGGCGGUCCGUCUUUGGCGAGUACUGUCCUGUGUCGGGUCCACCUUCUGGUGAACCAGUAUGUCCUUUAUUGGGUGUGCCGGGGAGCCAGGACCAUUACCUUGAAAAAAUUAGAGUGUUUAAAGCAGGCAUUUGCUUGAAUAGAUUAGCAUGGAAUAAUAGAAUAGGACGUUGUGGUUCUAUUUUGUUGGUUUCUAGGACCACCGUAAUGAUUAAUAGGGAUAGUUGGGGGCAUUAGUAUUCAAUUGUCAGAGGUGAAAUUCUUGGAUUUAUUGAAGACUAACUACUGCGAAAGCAUUUGCCAAGGAUGUUUUCAUUAAUCAAGAACGAAAGUUAGGGGAUCGAAGACGAUCAGAUACCGUCGUAGUCUUAACCAUAAACUAUGCCGACUAGGGAUCGGACGAAGUUAAUUUUAUAAUGACGCGUUCGGCACCUUACG
This 500-nucleotide ribosomal RNA is filed under the name uncultured Glomeromycotina. Its description in RNAcentral is "partial small subunit ribosomal RNA". It matches the Rfam family "Eukaryotic small subunit ribosomal RNA", at positions 591 to 1092 of the family's 1831-position model. Lineage: Eukaryota; Fungi; Glomeromycota. The record is from RNAcentral.